GCGCGCGUGGCGGAAUUGGUAGACGCGCCGGAUUUAGGAUCCGGUUCCCUCGGGAGUGAAGGUUCGACUCCUUUCACGCGUACCA
This 85-nucleotide transfer RNA is filed under the name Verrucomicrobiales bacterium. Its description in RNAcentral is "tRNA-Leu". It matches the Rfam family "tRNA". Rfam says of the family: Transfer RNA (tRNA) molecules are approximately 80 nucleotides in length. Their secondary structure includes four short double-helical elements and three loops (D, anti-codon, and T loops). Further hydrogen bonds mediate the characteristic L-shaped molecular structure. tRNAs have two regions of fundamental functional importance: the anti-codon, which is responsible for specific mRNA codon recognition, and the 3' end, to which the tRNAs corresponding amino acid is attached (by aminoacyl-tRNA synthetases). tRNAs cope with the degeneracy of the genetic code in two manners: having more than one tRNA (with a specific anti-codon) for a particular amino acid; and 'wobble' base-pairing, i.e. permitting non-standard base-pairing at the 3rd anti-codon position. The record is from RNAcentral. Lineage: Bacteria; Pseudomonadati; Verrucomicrobiota; Verrucomicrobiia; Verrucomicrobiales.